UUAUAUUAGAGUGAAGGAUAUAUUUUGUGUUAAUAAAGGGUGAAAUCAAUUUUUUAUUAUAUAAAUAAUUUUAUUUUAGUCUAAUGAAGUUGAAGUCGUUAAAUUUGAGGUAUGAACCAGGAUUAGAGACCCUGUUACACUUUACUAAAAAUUAAUAUACCUGGGUAGUAAACAGUUAUAGUCUUGAAACUUAAAGGAUUUGGCGGUAACCUAGUCUAGUUAGAGGAACCUGUCCUGUAAUCGAUAAACCACGAAGAAUCUUACUCUAUUUUGAAAUUUUCAGUUUAUAUACCGUCAUUAUUAGAUAACUUUAAAAGAAUAUAUAGUUAUUAAAAUAAUUUUUAGUUAAUAUAUUAGAUCAAGGUGUAGCUAAUAAUAGAGUAGAGAUGGGUUACAAUAAUAUUUGUUUAACAAACGGAUUUAAAAAAGAAAUAGUUUUAAUGAAGGUGGAUUUAAAUGUAAAGAGAUUUUAGUAUGAUCUUUUGAUUGUAGCUCUAGGUUAUGUACACAUCGCCCGUCGCUCU
Molecule: ribosomal RNA, 524 nt
Filed under: Rimapenaeus similis
Lineage: Eukaryota; Metazoa; Arthropoda; Malacostraca; Decapoda; Penaeidae
Description: partial 12S ribosomal RNA
Rfam family: Eukaryotic small subunit ribosomal RNA (bases 163-524)
Source: RNAcentral